AGAGUUUGAUCCUGGCUCAGGAUGAACGCUGGCGGUAUGCUUAACACAUGCAAGUCGAACGGACUCUUCGGAGUUAGUGGCGGACGGGUGAGUAACGCGUGAGAAUCUGGCUUCAGGUUCGGGACAACAGUUGGAAACGGCUGCUAAUACCGGAUGUGCCUUAUGGUGAAAGAUUUAUCACCUGAAGAUGAGCUCGCGUCUGAUUAGCUAGUAGGUGUGGUAAGAGCGCACCUAGGCGACGAUCAGUAGCUGGUCUGAGAGGAUGAUCAGCCACACUGGGACUGAGACACGGCCCAGACUCCUACGGGAGGCAGCAGUGGGGAAUUUUCCGCAAUGGGCGAAAGCCUGACGGAGCAAUACCGCGUGAGGGAGGAAGGCUCUUGGGUUGUAAACCUCUUUUCUCAGGGAAGAAUGAUGACGGUACCUGAGGAAUAAGCAUCGGCUAACUCCGUGCCAGCAGCCGCGGUAAUACGGAGGAUGCAAGCGUUAUCCGGAAUGAUUGGGCGUAAAGCGUCCGCAGGUGGCAAUGUAAGUCUGCUGUCAAAGCGUCUGGCUCAACCAGAUAAAGGCAGUGGAAACUACAUAGCUAGAGUAAGGUAGGGGUAGAGGGAAUUCCUGGUGUAGCGGUGAAAUGCGUAGAGAUCAGGAAGAACACCGGUGGCGAAAGCGCUCUGCUGGACCUUAACUGACACUGAGGGACGAAAGCUAGGGGAGCGAAUGGGAUUAGAUACCCCAGUAGUCCUAGCCGUAAACGAUGGAUACUAGGCGUUGCCCGUAUCGACCCGGGCAGUGUCGUAGCUAACGCGUUAAGUAUCCCGCCUGGGGAGUACGCAGGCAACUGUGAAACUCAAAGGAAUUGACGGGGGCCCGCACAAGCGGUGGAGUAUGUGGUUUAAUUCGAUGCAACGCGAAGAACCUUACCAGGGCUUGACAUGUCCGGAAUCCUCUUGAAAGGGAGGAGUGCCUUCGGGAGCCGGAACACAGGUGGUGCAUGGCUGUCGUCAGCUCGUGUCGUGAGAUGUUGGGUUAAGUCCCGCAACGAGCGCAACCCUCGUUCUUAGUUGCCAUCAUUAAGUUGGGAACUCUAAGGAGACUGCCGGUGACAAACCGGAGGAAGGUGGGGAUGACGUCAAGUCAGCAUGCCCCUUACGCCCUGGGCUACACACGUACUACAAUGCUAUGGACAAAGGGCAGCAAGCCAGCGAUGGCAAGCAAAUCUCGUAAACCAUGGCUCAGUUCAGAUCGCAGGCUGCAACUCGCCUGCGUGAAGUCGGAAUCGCUAGUAAUUGCAGGUCAGCAUACUGCAGUGAAUUCGUUCCCGGGCCUUGUACACACCGCCCGUCACACCAUGGAAGCUGGUCACGCCCGAAGUCGUUACCCUAACCUUUCGAGGAGGGGGACGCCGAAGGUAGGACUGGUGACUGGGGUGAAGUCGUAACAAGGUAGCCGUACCGGAAGGUGUGGCUGGAUCA
RNAcentral lists this ribosomal RNA (1472 nucleotides) under Kalymmatonema hyalinum ATE704. RNAcentral's name for it is "bacterial SSU rRNA". It matches the Rfam family "Bacterial small subunit ribosomal RNA". Lineage: Bacteria; Bacillati; Cyanobacteriota; Cyanophyceae; Nostocales; Scytonemataceae. The record is from RNAcentral.